RNAcentral lists this long non-coding RNA (1429 nucleotides) under Macaca fascicularis (crab-eating macaque). RNAcentral's name for it is "lncRNA (ENSMFAG00000047125.2)". The record is from RNAcentral. Lineage: Eukaryota; Metazoa; Chordata; Mammalia; Primates; Cercopithecidae.
AUGUGUUUUGAAAGAAAAAAGUCCAGUGGAAUGAGCUGUCUCUUCAGGAAUAAAUCAGAAGAGAAAAGGUACAACUUAGGAGCAAAACAAGUCCUGGAUUUAAAACCAUGGCAAGCAGACUUCUCCACCGGGUACAAGAAAUAUUGCUGGUUACCUUGUGUUUAUGUCUCCAAAAUGAGUAUGAACUAAACUGUUUUGAAAGCCAAAGAAGUCAAUUUUUGUGACACAAGACUAGGCUAGAAAAGAUGGCAAAGAUUUCAAGAAAUCUGAAACUGUUUUCAAAAAAUCUAUCCAAAUAUGAGGGAGCACAGAAAAAAUCUUUUAAACAGAUUAUUAGAGUUCAUGAAUUUACAGCUUUAUAAUUAUUUCAGUCCGCACUGAGGAAGUAGGCUGUACAACAGCCCUCUUAAAUUUUUUUUAUUGCUUUCUCAAAUACAUUUUACAGAAUUGACUUUACAAUCCAUUGACUGGUCAGUUCUUGCUGGGCUGAAUCAAUUGAUUAAAUGGAGAAAAUAAUAUAUAAUGUUUCCCUCAGGGGAAUGAUGAGAAUUAUGAUGUCAACUUUCACAAAAAUGGGCUGUAGCUUUUAUCUGCCUACUUUUGUUAAACUAUUUUUAAAAUUAAUUUAAGCAGUCUAUUAGUUCAAUAAAUGUUCAAUUUUAAAUACUAAAAGUUAUUACACUAUAAACCAUGAGAUAAAGAAUAUAUUUUGAUAAAAAGCCCCCAAAUUUCACCAACCAGACAGCUGAGACUCCCAAGUCUUCAUGAUAUCAUAUUGCAGUUAACAAUUAUGUCUAUUUAUAUAUUUACAAAGUCACUGUGAUAUCUGAGUAAUGGGUAAGUCAGGCUUUACCUUGUAAAUUAAGUCCUGCAAACUGACAAUGUUUUAAGAACUCUUAUUGUGCUCACUACUCAUUGCAGGUAUCUGAUAUGUCUGUUUUUUCUCCUCCCUAGAUUAUGCUAUUUUGUUAUAAUUUUUAAUCUUCUUAUUCUAACAAUUUUGAUACCUCAGUCCUUUCCAGAGAUGGAAGAGAUACCAGUCAAUCACAAAUAAAUAAAGAAUGUAUGUGAACCAGAUGCUUAUGGCAUAGAUCAUUUUUAUAGGCAUGACAAUUAGGUGGCUACCAUUUAAGGUAUGUUCCUAGAAUAUUUUACAGUAUAUUUUCCAGUCUUAAUUACAAACUUUAGAAAAUAAUUUGAAUAAAAUAGAAAAUGUCUACAGUAUUAUGGAAUUUCCUUCUCAUCAUAUUUGAGAAUCUGUUGUAAAAGCAUGUAAUUAGAACAAAACAAAAAUACUUGCUGACACAUUUUUCUAGGACUUCUGGCCAAAGCAAUAAGGCAAGAAAAAUAAAUGAAACUGAUUAGAAAAUAUAUUAGUAAUAUAAAAUUAGUAGCUAAAAACAAAAUUUUAUUAGCUUAUCGUUCUGGA